GAUGAACGCUGGCGGCGUGCCUAAUACAUGCAAGUCGAACGAAACUUCUUUAUCACUGAGUGCUUGCACUCACCGAUAAAGAGUUGAGUGGCGAACGGGUGAGUAACACGUGGGCAACCUGCCCAAACGAGAGGGAUAACAAUAGGAAACAGGUGCUAAUACCGCAUAACCAUAGUUACCGCAUGGUAACUAUGUAAAAGGUGGUUAUACUACCGCUUCUGGAUGGGCCCGUGGUGCAUUAGCUAGUUGGUAGGGUAAAGGCUUACCAAGGCAAUGAUGCGUAGCCGAAGUGAGAGGUGGAUCGGCCACAUUGGAACUGAGACACGGCCCAAACUCCUACGGGAGGCAGCAGUAGGGAAUCUGCCGCAAUGGGCGAAAGCCUGAUGGAGCAACGCCGCGUGGGUGAAGAAGGUCUUCGGAUCGUAAAACCCUGUUGUUAGAGAAGAAAGUGCGUGAGAGUAACUGUUCACGUUUCGACGGUAUCUAACCAGAAAGCCACGGCUAACUACGUG
Molecule: ribosomal RNA, 512 nt
Filed under: uncultured bacterium
Lineage: Bacteria
Description: partial 16S ribosomal RNA
Rfam family: Bacterial small subunit ribosomal RNA
Source: RNAcentral